CAAGGAGCAGCUUGGAGGGAUGGUUCAUACAGCAGGAGCAGCAAAGGAUGCGCUACCAUGGGUGGUACCAGGAAAGCAAAAGAAAAAGGGCAGCAAGCCUACGUUUGUGAGCACCUUGUUUUGACAUUAAAUGGUGUAUGAGAAGACUCUUUUUUCUGUGGAAAGAUUAUUGAAGUACCUAGAGAUGAUGAAAGAACUUGGAAUAGUCACAAAGUUCAUCCUCUUCAUUGCAAAGCUGUUUGGUGGUAAAUGGCUGAGAUGAAACGUGGAAGAACAGACUUUAGAUCUCUUCUGCCCGAGUAGUUUCAACUCGACACCUCUCACUCUUGAGCUGCCUG
Molecule: long non-coding RNA, 338 nt
Organism: Pezoporus occidentalis (night parrot)
Lineage: Eukaryota; Metazoa; Chordata; Aves; Psittaciformes; Psittacidae
Exons: 4
Source: RefSeq, a predicted model, not a curated record